AGUGAACGCUGGCGGCGUGCUUAACACAUGCAAGUCGAGGGGCAGCAUAGAAGUAGCAAUACUUUGGUGGCGACCGGCGCACGGGUGAGUAACGCGUAUGCAACCUACCUAUCAGAGGGGAAUAACCCGGCGAAAGUCGGACUAAUACCGCAUAAAACAGGGGCACCGCAUGGUGAUAUUUGUUAAAGAAAUUCGCUGAUAGAUGGGCAUGCGUUCCAUUAGGUAGUUGGUGAGGUAACGGCUCACCAAGCCGACGAUGGAUAGGGGAACUGAGAGGUUGGUCCCCCACACUGGUACUGAGACACGGACCAGACUCCUACGGGAGGCAGCAGUGAGGAAUAUUGGUCAAUGGGCGGGAGCUUGAACCAGCCAAGUCGCGUGAAGGAAUAAGGAUCUAUGGUUCGUAAACUUCUUUUGCAGGGGAAUAAAGUGCAGGACGUGUCCUGUUUUGUAUGUACCCUGAGAAUAAGGAUCGGCUAACUCCGUGCCAGCAGCCGCCGUAA
RNAcentral lists this ribosomal RNA (503 nucleotides) under uncultured bacterium. RNAcentral's name for it is "partial 16S ribosomal RNA". It matches the Rfam family "Bacterial small subunit ribosomal RNA", at positions 29 to 523 of the family's 1533-position model. The record is from RNAcentral.